CCCUUAGAUGUCCGGGGCUGCACGCGCGCUACACUGAAGGAAUCAGCGUGCUAAAACCAUUGUCGAAAGGCAUUGGUAAACCCAUUAAAAUCCUACGUGAUUGGGAUCGGGAAUUGCAAUUAUUUCCCUUGAACGAGGAAUUCCCAGUAAGUGUGGGUCAUAAGCUCGCGUUGAUUACGUCCCUGCCCUUUGUACACACCGCCCGUCGCUGCCCGGGACUGAGCCGUUUCGAGAAAAGCGGGGACUGCUGCUGUCGGGGCUUUCGGGCCUUGGCUUCGGUGGAAACCGCUUUAAUCGCAGUGGCUUGAACCGGGCAAAAGUUGUAACA
Molecule: ribosomal RNA, 328 nt
Filed under: uncultured eukaryote
Lineage: Eukaryota
Description: partial 18S ribosomal RNA
Rfam family: Eukaryotic small subunit ribosomal RNA
Source: RNAcentral